AUAAUUUCUGAAGAUGAUGACAUGGAAUCAACGUGGGAGAAGAGGCUGGUGAAAAGAUAUUAUGAUAAACUUUUCAAAGAAUAUUGCAUUGCUGAUAUGUCUCACUUCAAGGAAGGCAAGAUUGGCUUAAGAUGGAGGAUGGAAAAUGAGGUCAUAUCUGGGAAAGGUGAAUCCGGCCAAUUUGUAUGCGGUAACAAGAAAUGCAGUGAGAAAGAGAAUCUAGGAAGUUAUGAGGUAAAUUUUUCCUAUUUUGAAGCUGGAGAAAAUAAGCAAGCUCUAGUGAAAUUGGUGGCAUGUAAAAGAUGUGCAGAGAAACUUGUCUAUAGAAGGCAGAAAGAGAGGGAGCACAAGAAGAGCAGUGAUGUAGGCGCAAGCAAUAGGAAGAGGGGAAAAGACAAAAAUAUCGAUGACAAUGAUAUUGAUGAUGAAUACGAGGAUUCAAAUUUAAGGAAAAAAGAAGGUCGGGCAGGGAGCUGUCGAGCAAAGAGCUUCUGAAUUGCCGAACGGGAGGUCAAGCAUAGUUGCCAAACUAACAACUAACGAGCCGGGAGGUUGGGCAGGAAACUGCUGAACAGGAGGUUGAGUAGAGCUGUCGAUUGCCGGGCUAGGAGGCAAUGCUACCGAGUUGCUAGAUAGGGAGCAAGACUGUCAGAACAUGGCUCAACCACAUUAGCAACCAAGCACAAGCUACUUGUGGCGAACGGAUCUGUACUCUAAUGCUAUCACUGGAAAACAAGAGUUGCCAAGAAGGGCUGCCUAACAAGGAGGUGGAGGAUGUGGGGGAAGGAGUUGGAUCGACUCUUCAGUGUGUGCUUUAUGAACUCUUCCUUUUGCCCAAGGACGAAGGACUUCAACUUCAGGGACUAAAGCGCGAAUAGUUGAUGAAGAUUUCGAGGAGUUUUUAGAAGGAAUGUUCCCAUGACUUGAAUAUUU
This is an RNA transcript of Zingiber officinale, 933 nucleotides long. It is a transcript of the gene named protein FRA10AC1-like, with no coding region annotated. The record is from RefSeq and is a predicted model, not a curated record. NCBI's taxonomy places the organism in Eukaryota, Viridiplantae, Streptophyta, Magnoliopsida, Zingiberales, Zingiberaceae. The transcript has 9 exons.